CCUACGGGUGGCUGCAGUGGGGAAUAUUGGACAAUGGGCGAAAGCCUGAUCCAGCCAUGCCGCGUGUGUGAAGAAGGCCUUCGGGUUGUAAAGCACUUUCAGUGGGGAAGAAAGCCUUGGGGCUAAUACCCUCGAGGAAGGACAUCACCCACAGAAGAAGCACCGGCUAACUCCGUGCCAGCAGCCGCGGUAAUACGGAGGGUGCGAGCGUUAAUCGGAAUUACUGGGCGUAAAGCGCGCGUAGGCGGUCUGAUAAGCCGGUUGUGAAAGCCCCGGGCUCAACCUGGGAACGGCAUCCGGAACUGUCAGGCUAGAGUGCAGGAGAGGAAGGUAGAAUUCCCGGUGUAGCGGUGAAAUGCGUAGAGAUCGGGAGGAAUACCAGUGGCGAAGGCGGCCUCCUGGACUGACACUGACGCUGAGGUGCGAAAGCGUGGGUAGCAAACAGGAUUAGAUACCCUAGUAGUC
RNAcentral lists this ribosomal RNA (465 nucleotides) under Vreelandella stevensii. RNAcentral's name for it is "partial 16S ribosomal RNA". It matches the Rfam family "Bacterial small subunit ribosomal RNA", at positions 338 to 795 of the family's 1533-position model. The record is from RNAcentral. Lineage: Bacteria; Pseudomonadati; Pseudomonadota; Gammaproteobacteria; Oceanospirillales; Halomonadaceae.